AGCAGCCGCGGUAAUUCCAGCUCCAAUAGCGUAUAUUAAAGUUGUUGCAGUUAAAAAGCUCGUAGUUGAAUUUCGAGACCGGCUUACUGGUCGUGCUUUUGUGCGUACUGGUAUAAUCGGUUUCUCCUUUCUGACGAACUUUAAUGCCAUUAAUUUGGUGUUUUAGGGAAUCAGGACUGUUACUUUGAAAAAAUUAGAGUGUUUAAAGCAGGCUCACGCUUGAAUACAUUAGCAUGGAAUAACGGAACAGGACGUUUGAUUCUAUUUUGUUGGUUUCUAGGAUCGACGUAAUGAUUAAUAGGGAUAGUUGGGGGCAUUAGUAUUCAAUUGUCAGAGGUGAAAUUCUUGGAUUUAUUGAAGACUAACUACUGCGAAAGCAUUUGCCAAGGAUGUUUUCAUUAAUCAAGAACGAAAGUUAGGGGAUCGAAGACGAUCAGAUACCGUCGUAGUCUUAACCAUAAACUAUGCCGACUAGGGAUCGGAUGAUGUUAAUUUUUUAAUGACUCA
This 507-nucleotide ribosomal RNA is filed under the name uncultured Glomeromycotina. Its description in RNAcentral is "SSU rRNA". It matches the Rfam family "Eukaryotic small subunit ribosomal RNA", at positions 569 to 1078 of the family's 1831-position model. The record is from RNAcentral. Lineage: Eukaryota; Fungi; Glomeromycota.